UGAUGUGAGGGCGAUCUGGCUGCGACAUCUGUCACCCCAUUGAUCGCCAGGGUUGAUUCGGCUGAUCUGGCUGGCUAGGCGGGUGUCCCCUUCCUCCCUCACCGCUCCAUGUGCGUCUCACCCGAAGCUGCACGCUCGGUCGAAGAGGACGACCUUCCCCGAUAGAGGAGAGGACCGUUCUUCGGUCAAGGGUAUAUGAGUAGCUGCGCUCCCCUGCUAGAACCUCCAAACAAGCUCUCAAGGUCUAUUAUCUUUCACAGAACAGAAAUUUGUAAUUUAAAUGAAGUAUAUAUAGCUUAUCAAUUCUUUCAUGGAUCAUGCCUUUGGUGUUCUAUCUAAAAAG
This 343-nucleotide small nuclear RNA is filed under the name Neogale vison (American mink). RNAcentral describes it as "Neovison vison (American mink) 7SK RNA (ENSNVIG00000010387.1)". It matches the Rfam family "7SK RNA". From Rfam's summary of the family: 7SK was discovered as an abundant small nuclear RNA in the mid-70s but a possible function has only recently been suggested. Two independent studies have found that 7SK RNA binds the CDK9/cyclin T complex (known as elongation factor P-TEFb). P-TEFb activates transcription by phosphorylating the C-terminal domain of RNA polymerase II. The record is from Rfam by way of RNAcentral. Lineage: Eukaryota; Metazoa; Chordata; Mammalia; Carnivora; Mustelidae.